AUUUCAAGAGGGGCAGACACCACGACGCCUUCUCUACUAUGACUGCUACAAAUCCAAAGCUGUGUUUGAUUCAGGACUCAAAGAAGGGAAAUAUGAUGCUUAUGAAGGCACAGGGAAGAACUGUAAAUUCAUAGUACGAAAUGUAGAAGAAAGCGAUUCUGGGUUGAGAAUUGAACCCGGAGCCUUCACACUUGGCUGUGUUCUCACCCCCUUUUCUAUUUUGAGAAAGGAUCUUGAUGUCUGAACUGUUCCCAAACUCCAUUUUGAUUCCUGCGAAGAACGCUGCUGUGGUGUUGGGCAGAGCCAGCUCCAUGGAGACAAGGUACUUGAAUCCACCCCCUUCCCACCUCCACACCGAAAGGGGCUCCACAGCCAUGCUGGUACCAUGAGUCCACUGAGUGAUGAGUCAUGAAAAGGUUUGACCUGUGUCGUUCAGGUCUGGUAGCACAAAAACUGGUGACGGCAGGCACCUGGAGAAGACCACGCGAGACAGGAAGUCCUGGCAGACUGGCCACUUGGGCCAACCCCCCUUAAAAUCAAUCAAAUAAUCUUCAUGAAGUAACAAUAAUAAAAAGGAUCUUCUUGGAGUUUCUAAGAACAAGUAAGAUCACAAAGUAUGUAUCUUUUACUAUGCAAACGGACUGAUUACUGUGGGAUCAUGCAGCUGUGGGCAUAGCUCUGUGUGUUGCUGGCUGUCAGAAAUGACUGAUCUGGGCACAAGGCCCUGCGAUGAUCUCUGUUCAGACACCCAGAAGACCCCUCCUUAUUCUGAACCUGUAACUCCUGAAGUUCCCUCCAUUGAGGGUCUCCUCAGCUUCCUUCCUUGGCACACAGCCCAGGCGUAGGGGACUUCGUGACUGCAAACAUUCGUGAGCUCUUCGCUCUGGGAAUCGGAUUUUUUCCCUCUUAUUUCUCAGACUGAUUGAAGCAUUUGUUUAUUCCUUGAUAAUUUGAUUUGUUGUAAACAUUUGUAUGAGUUAAUUAUGAAUUUAACCGGCUGGAGAUUUCUAGAGAAAUGACUGGAUCUUGAAGAAGUUAUGCUCCUAAUAACUAAUGGAUUAAUAAACUGAUGGUCAUUGCUUAAUGUGCUGUUAGGACUUGUAGCCUGGAUAGAGGAGGUGGACCACUGUGUCCUGACUUCAGAGGAUGUCUCUCAUUGGCUCUCUUCCCUGGGCUCUGUUUCCUGGGCACCAUAAAGUGAGAAGCUUGCUCUACGAUACGAUUCUCCCAUGAUUCUUUGCUCUAUCAUGUGAUUCCACCAUGAUGCUUCUCUGCUGGAUAGAGCUAACUGCAGACUGAGACUAUGAGCCAAAUGCACUGUUUCCUUCUGUAAGUCAUAUGCUGCAGGUCUUUUGUCUCAGUAAAAGGAAAUUUCACCUAUACAGUAUUAUUUUGUUUUUACUUGUGGUUAGGUUAAAUAUGAAGAGGAAAUAUUAUUUCAAUAGCACAAAAAGAACAUUUUUCCAUUACUGUAUAUUAAGACAGAAUUUU
Fukomys damarensis (Damara mole-rat) is the source of this 1491-nucleotide long non-coding RNA. RefSeq lists it as uncharacterized. The transcript has 3 exons. Lineage: Eukaryota; Metazoa; Chordata; Mammalia; Rodentia; Bathyergidae. The record is from RefSeq and is a predicted model, not a curated record.